CCCUUGUCCUUAGUUACCAGCACGUUAUGGUGGGCACUCUAAGGAGACUGCCGGUGACAAACCGGAAGAAGGUGGGGAGUGACGUCAAGUCAUCAUGGCCCUUACGGCCUGGGCUACACACGUGCUACAAUGGUCGGUACAAAGGGUUGCCAAGCCGCGAGGUGGAGCUAAUCCCAUAAAACCGAUCGUAGUCCGGAUCGCAGUCUGCAACUCGACUGCGUGAAGUCGGAAUCGCUAGUAAUCGUGAAUCAGAAUGUCACGGUGAAUACGUUCCCGGGCCUU
RNAcentral lists this ribosomal RNA (282 nucleotides) under uncultured Pseudomonas sp. RNAcentral describes it as "partial 16S ribosomal RNA". It matches the Rfam family "Bacterial small subunit ribosomal RNA", at positions 1102 to 1382 of the family's 1533-position model. The record is from RNAcentral. Lineage: Bacteria; Pseudomonadati; Pseudomonadota; Gammaproteobacteria; Pseudomonadales; Pseudomonadaceae.